AAAUUGAAGAGUUUGAUCAUGGCUCAGAUUGAACGCUGGCGGCAGGCCUAACACAUGCAAGUCGAGCGGUAGCACAGAGAGCUUGCUCUCGGGUGACGAGCGGCGGACGGGUGAGUAAUGUCUGGGAAACUGCCUGAUGGAGGGGAUAACUACUGGAAACGGUAGCUAAUACCGCAUAACGUCGCAAGACCAAAGUGGGGACCUUCGGGCCUCAUGCCAUCAGAUGUGCCCAGAUGGGAUUAGCUAGUAGGUGGGGUAACGGCUCACCUAGGCGACGAUCCUAGCUGGUCUGAGAGGAUGACCAGCCACACUGGAACUGAGACACGGUCCAGACUCCUACGGGAGGCAGCAGUGGGGAAUAUUGCACAAUGGGCGCAAGCCUGAUGCAGCCAUGCCGCGUGUGUGAAGAAGGCCUUCGGGUUGUAAAGCACUUUCAGCGGGGAGGAAGGCGUUAAGGUUAAUAACCUUGGCGAUUGACGUUACCCGCAGAAGAAGCACCGGCUAACUCCGUGCCAGCAGCCGCGGUAAUACGGAGGGUGCAAGCGUUAAUCGGAAUUACUGGGCGUAAAGCGCACGCAGGCGGUCUGUCAAGUCGGAUGUGAAAUCCCGGGCUCAACCUGGAACUGCAUUCGAAACUGGCAGGCUAGAGUCUUGUAGAGGGGGUAGAAUUCCGGUGUAGCGGUGAAAUGCGUAGAGAUCUGGAGGAAUACCGGUGGCGAAGGCGGCCCCUGGACAAAGACUGACGCUCAGGUGCGAAAGCGUGGGGAGCAAACAGGAUUAGAUACCCUGGUAGUCCACGCCGUAAACGAUGUCGAUUUGGAGGUUGUGCCCUUGAGGCGUGGCUUCCGGAGCUAACGCGUUAAAUCGACCGCCUGGGGAGUACGGCCGCAAGGUUAAAACUCAAAUGAAUUGACGGGGCCCGCACAAGCGGUGGAGCAUGUGGUUUAAUUCGAUGCAACGCGAAGAACCUUACCUGGUCUUGACAUCCACAGAACUUUCCAGAGAUGGAUUGGUGCCUUCGGGAACUGUGAGACAGGUGCUGCAUGGCUGUCGUCAGCUCGUGUUGUGAAAUGUUGGGUUAAGUCCCGCAACGAGCGCAACCCUUAUCCUUUGUUGCCAGCGGUUAGGCCGGGAACUCAAAGGAGACUGCCAGUGAUAAACUGGAGGAAGGUGGGGAUGACGUCAAGUCAUCAUGGCCCUUACGACCAGGGCUACACACGUGCUACAAUGGCAUAUACAAAGAGAAGCGACCUCGCGAGAGCAAGCGGACCUCAUAAAGUAUGUCGUAGUCCGGAUUGAGUCUGCAACUCGACUCCAUGAAGUCGGAAUCGCUAGUAAUCGUAGAUCAGAAUGCUACGGUGAAUACGUUCCCGGGCCUUGUACACACCGCCCGUCACACCAUGGGAGUGGGUUGCAAAAGAAGUAGGUAGCUUAACCUUCGGGAGGGCGCUUACCACUUUGUGAUUCAUGACUGGGGUGAAGUCGUAACAAGGUAACCGUAGGGGAACCUGCGGUUGGAUCACCUCCUUA
Molecule: ribosomal RNA, 1530 nt
Filed under: Klebsiella pneumoniae
Lineage: Bacteria; Pseudomonadati; Pseudomonadota; Gammaproteobacteria; Enterobacterales; Enterobacteriaceae
Description: bacterial SSU rRNA
Rfam family: Bacterial small subunit ribosomal RNA
Source: RNAcentral